This 74-nucleotide transfer RNA is filed under the name Microcaldota archaeon. RNAcentral's name for it is "tRNA-Ile". It matches the Rfam family "tRNA". From Rfam's summary of the family: Transfer RNA (tRNA) molecules are approximately 80 nucleotides in length. Lineage: Archaea; Nanobdellati; Microcaldota. The record is from RNAcentral.
GGGCCCGUAGCUCAGCUAGGUAGAGCGCUCGACUGAUAAUCGAGAGGUCGUGGGUUCAAAUCCCACCGGGCCCA